This is a long non-coding RNA of Oncorhynchus tshawytscha (Chinook salmon), 1089 nucleotides long. Lineage: Eukaryota; Metazoa; Chordata; Actinopteri; Salmoniformes; Salmonidae. The record is from Ensembl.
UAGUAUUAGUCUGUAUUAGUCUAGUAUCAGUAUUAGUCUGUAUUAGUAUUAGUCUGUAUUAGUAUUAGUCUGUAUUAGUCUAGUAUUAGUCUGUAUUAGUCUUGUAUUAGUGUUAGUCUGUAUUAGUAUUAGUCUGAAUUAGUAUUAGUCUGAACUAGCCUUGUAUCAGUAUUAUUCUGUAUUAGUAUUAGUCUGUAUUAGUCUAGUAUCAGUAUUAGUCUGUAUUAGUAUUAGUCUGUAUUAGUAUUAUAUUAGUCUGUAUUAGUCUAGUAUCAGUAUUAGUCUGUAUUAGUAUUAGUCUGUAUUAGUAUUAGUCUGUAUUAGUAUUAGUCUGUAUUAGUAUUAGUCUGUAUUAGUAUUAGUCUGAACUAGCCUUGUAUCAGUAUUAUUCUGUAUUAGUAUUAGUCUGUAUUAGUCUAUAUUAGUCUUGUAUUAGUCUGAAUUAGCAUUAGUCUGUAUUAGUAUUAGUCUGUAUUCGUAUUAGUAUAGUAUCAGUAUUACAAGUGUAAUGGAUUGAAUUAGAAUAUGUACAUAAAAAUAUAUGCAGCCACUCAAUGUUAGUGGUGGAUGUUUAACAGUCUGAUGGCCUUGAGAUAGGAGCUGUUUUUCAGUCUCUCGGUCCCAGCUUUGAUGCACCUGUACUGACCUCACCUUCUGGAUGAUAGCGGGGUGAACAGGCAGUGGCUCGGGUGGUUGAUGUCCUUGAUGAUCUUUAUGGCCUUCCUAUGACAUCAGGUGGUGUAGGUGUCCUGGAGGGCAGGUAGUUUGCCCCCGGUGAUGCGUUGUGCAGACCUCACUACCCUCUGGAGAGCCUUAUGGUUGUGGACAGAGCAGUUGCCAUACCAGGCGGUGAUACAGCCCGACAGGAUGCUCUCGAUUGUGCAUCUGUAAAAGUUUGUGAGUGUUUUUGGUGACAAGCCAAAUCUUCAGCCCCCUGAGGUUGAAGAGGCGCCGCUGCGCCUUCUUCACGACGCUGUCUGUGUGGGUGGACCAAUUCAGUUUGUCCGUGAUGUGUACCCCGAGGGACUUAAAACUUUUAACCCUCUCCACUACUGUCCCCUCGAUGUGGAUAGGGGGUGCUCCCUCUGC